UACGUAGGGGGCAAGCGUUGUCCGGAAUCAUUGGGCGUAAAGCGCGUGUAGGCGGCUCGAUAAGUCUGCUGUGAAAGUCCAGGGCUCAACCCUGGGAUGCCGGUGGAUACUGUCGAGCUCGAGUCCGGAAGAGGCGAGUGGAAUUCCUGGUGUAGCGGUGAAAUGCGCAGAUAUCAGGAGGAACACCGAUUGCGAAGGCAGCUCGCUGGGACGUCACUGACGCUGAGACGCGAAAGCGUGGGGAGCAAACAGG
RNAcentral lists this ribosomal RNA (253 nucleotides) under uncultured bacterium. RNAcentral describes it as "partial 16S ribosomal RNA". It matches the Rfam family "Bacterial small subunit ribosomal RNA", at positions 524 to 776 of the family's 1533-position model. The record is from RNAcentral.